Molecule: long non-coding RNA, 260 nt
Filed under: Helianthus annuus (common sunflower)
Lineage: Eukaryota; Viridiplantae; Streptophyta; Magnoliopsida; Asterales; Asteraceae
Description: hypothetical non coding rna
Source: RNAcentral
GGCUAAAUCAAUAGGCUAAGCUCUGCCUGUAUAAAUCUGCAAUAUAUCAAGGCUUAUCUGUAGACUAAACUUUGGCCGUAUGAAUCUGCAUGUUUAUAAUGUAAUUACAGUAGAUUGGAGUAAGGAUUGGAUCCGGCACUAAAAGACUUCAAGAAGUGGCUUAUUUUAUUAAUUAAAUCAAAUUAAGAAAUAUUGUUUUUAUUAAAAGCUACCUUUGUAACAAUGGAAUUUAUUCCAUCUAUUUAAAUAAAAUCCGGUGU